CUCCAAUUUUAUUUAAUUAUUAGUACGAAAGGACCAUAAUUAUAUAAUAAUUAUUUAUUAUUGAUUAAUAUUA
This 73-nucleotide ribosomal RNA is filed under the name Trithemis arteriosa (red-veined dropwing). RNAcentral describes it as "partial 16S ribosomal RNA". The record is from RNAcentral. Lineage: Eukaryota; Metazoa; Arthropoda; Insecta; Odonata; Libellulidae.